GCUUGUGUAACUCAGUUGGUAGAGUAGUUGAUUUGUAAUCAACCAGUCGUAGGUUCGAGUCCUACCACAAGCU
This 73-nucleotide transfer RNA is filed under the name Candidatus Woesearchaeota archaeon. RNAcentral's name for it is "tRNA-Thr". It matches the Rfam family "tRNA". From Rfam's summary of the family: Transfer RNA (tRNA) molecules are approximately 80 nucleotides in length. Their secondary structure includes four short double-helical elements and three loops (D, anti-codon, and T loops). Further hydrogen bonds mediate the characteristic L-shaped molecular structure. tRNAs have two regions of fundamental functional importance: the anti-codon, which is responsible for specific mRNA codon recognition, and the 3' end, to which the tRNAs corresponding amino acid is attached (by aminoacyl-tRNA synthetases). tRNAs cope with the degeneracy of the genetic code in two manners: having more than one tRNA (with a specific anti-codon) for a particular amino acid; and 'wobble' base-pairing, i.e. permitting non-standard base-pairing at the 3rd anti-codon position. Lineage: Archaea; Nanobdellati; Candidatus Woesearchaeota. The record is from RNAcentral.